RNAcentral lists this ribosomal RNA (392 nucleotides) under uncultured bacterium. Its description in RNAcentral is "partial 16S ribosomal RNA". It matches the Rfam family "Bacterial small subunit ribosomal RNA", at positions 523 to 918 of the family's 1533-position model. The record is from RNAcentral.
AUACGGAGGAUCCGAGCGUUAUCCGGAUUUAUUGGGUUUAAAGAGUGCGCAGGCGGCCAUUUAAGUCAGCGGUUAAAUCGUGGGGCUCAACCCCAUUCUGCCGUUGAUACUGGGUGGCUUGAUUGCGGUCGAGGUUGGCGGAAUUCGUUGUGUAGCGGUGAAAUGCAUAGAUAUGACGAAGAACACCGAUUGCGUAGGCAGCUGACCAGACCGCAAAUGACGCUCAUGCACGAAAGUGCGGGGAUCGAACAGGAUUAGAUACCCUGGUAGUCCGCACAGUAAACGAUGAAUACUUGUUUUCGGCGAUAUAAUGUCGGAGGCAAAGCGAAAGCGAUAAGUAUUCCACCUGGGGAGUACGCCGGCAACGGUGAAACUCAAAUGAAUUGACGGGG